UGCCUUAGAGCUGACAGCUGGACAGCUAGAUUCCCGGACCGUGAGAUGGCAGAGACAGAAUAAACUCACCAAUGGUCAUUACUACAAAUCCCACCUGUGUGGAGGGGGCGUGUAGAAACAUGACCUGUUUGGGGGUAGAAGUGGUUUUAGAGAAGAUCAACCUAUUUCUCUGAGUGUGUGGGAGAUGCUAUCCUGAAGAAAGAAAAAAGGCAGCUUAACUUCAUCAAAUCUCUUCAUCAACUGGAACUUUAGAUAAAUAAUCAAAAAUACUUGCUAUGCAGAAAGGUACAUAUCUCUAGGAUGCCUCAGUGAGUUGCCUGUGGUAAGGACUACUUAGCAAACAAGCCCAGCAUCUCUAGAUCCUCAACACAGCUUCCCUGAAGAACAUCACAAUUUACACAAUUCUUGACUCUACGGUGGAGACAAUUUCAUACACUGAACACUCUUCUUCCACUGCAAUUCAAGCCUGAAAACUAUCUGAAACCUCAUGUGUUAUUCUAGGUCAGGGAGUCCAUGUCUCAUGUGGGUAGACAGGACCUGUGAAGUGAGUGCCCUUGGCUAUCCCAGACCAUCUGCUUUGUCUGCGCUUUCUGGUGGCCCACGCGCUGCAAUUAUUAACAACGUUUAUUGCUUCACAGUCUCUGACCUCUAUUUGACGAUCUGGUCUUAUAUAUUAGCCCUCUCCUGAACUCAAUAAAGGGAGCGCUACGAUCA
Long non-coding RNA from Mus musculus (house mouse), 714 nucleotides. RefSeq annotates it as predicted gene, 34470. The transcript has 2 exons. The record is from RefSeq and is a predicted model, not a curated record. Lineage: Eukaryota; Metazoa; Chordata; Mammalia; Rodentia; Muridae.